This 8723-nucleotide long non-coding RNA is filed under the name Malus domestica (apple). Its description in RNAcentral is "long non-coding RNA (MDOM_LNC003553)". Lineage: Eukaryota; Viridiplantae; Streptophyta; Magnoliopsida; Rosales; Rosaceae. The record is from RNAcentral.
AGAAGGCCAUAUUUCCAACCAGUUAAUUGAUCACAUGGUAUAACAUAGAAUGCAUCUUUUACCAUUUUAGAUUUUGAAGUUACUUGACCAAAUCUCUUUCCUAAAUAAUUUUGAACUGCAAAGUGGCCAAACAAACCGCUAGCAAAAAAGAGCAACCCUAAACCAACAAGGCUCUCAGUUUUGCGAGGGUUGCUUUGCAAGAAGGUUGUUUUCACAACUCGAACUCAUGACCUUUUGGUCACAGAAGAGCAACCUUAUCAUCGCGCAAGGCGCCCCUACACCACGAGCAAGUACUAUUAUAUUAUUUAGAUUUCAAAAAAUAUGAUCUAACACAGAGAUUACAGUGUCCUAAUUUACACUAUACAACAACAACAACAACAACAAAGCCUUUUCCCACUAAGUGGGGUCGGCUAUAUGAAUCCUAGAACGCCAUUGCGCUCGGUUUUGUGUCAUGUCCUCCGUUAGAUCCAAGUACUCUAAGUCUUUUCUUAGAGUCUCUUCCAAAGUUUUCCUAGGUCUUCCUCUACCCCUUCGGCCCUGAACCUCUGUCCCGUAGUCACAUCUUCGAACCGGAGCGUCAGUCGGCCUUCUUUGCACAUGUCCAAAUCACCGGAGCCGAUUUUCUCUCAUCUUUCCUACAAUUUUGGCUACUCCUACUUUACCUCAGAUAUCCUCAUUCCCAAUCUUAUCCUUUCUCGUGUGCCCACACAUCCCACGAAGCAUCCUCAUCUCCGCUACACCCAUUUUGUGUACGUGUUGAUGCUUCACCGCCCAACAUUCUGUGCCAAAAACAUCGCUGGCCUUAUUGCCGUCCUAUAAAAUUUUCUCUUGAGCUUCAGUGGCCUACGACGGUCACACAACACGCCGGAUGCACUCUUACACUUCAUCCAUCCAUCCAGCUCGUAUUCUAUGGUUGAGAUCUCCAUCUAAUUCUCCGUUCUCUUGCAAGAUAGAUCCUAGGUAGCGAAAACGGUCGCUUUUUGUGAUCUUCGCUAGAUUGCUCCGGUCAUUAGUGUGGAUAAGUAUAUAAAUGGAUAGAGAUAGGAAAGCAAACACAAGAUGUACGUGGUUCACCCAGAUUGGCUACGUCCACGGAAUAGAAGAGUUCUCAUUAAUUGUGAAGGGUUUACACAAGUACAUAGGUUCAAGCUCUCCUUUAGUGAGUACAAGUGAAUGAUUUAGUACAAAUGACAUUAGGAAAUAUUGUGGGAGAAUGAUCUCGUAAUCACGAAACUUCUAAGUAUCGGAGUGUGGUGUCAUCUUGACUUGCCUUAUCUGUCUCAUAGGUAGAUGUGGCAUCUUCUCUGGAAGUACUCUUCCUCCAUCCAGGGGUGGUAUCUUUAACUGGUGGAGAUGCACAAGGUAAUGUAUCAAUUUCACUUGAAGCUUACUUGUAGUUUCAGGCUUGGUCAAGCGCGAUACAAACCAUGUAGUAAGAGUCCCCAAGUCGCCGAGCUAGGGGGUCUGCUGAAAGAGGUGACAGACAAGGUAAGCAAUCAGAGCUCCGACUGAUUGUUCACCUUCUCCCCAUCUUGCAGCAGCAUGAAGGAUAAAGAGAAGAAAAAUGAGAAGAGAUGAUAUGAGAUACUUUUGCUUUUGAAGAAGUAACUUUCCACAGGCUUAUUCUUGAACUGAGCUGGAGGGUUUUCUGGUUUCCUCCAGAGUAUAAGGCCGACUGAAGAAUUUGAGGGUCAAAACAAGUCCAUCAAAUCUAGAGUACGUUCCACCCUGCUGAUAUGGGAUACUUUUUUUUUUUGACAGAGUAAUGGAUGUAUCGGCACGUGUGCUGUUACGCUUGUCUCCACAUGCUUCCUUGUAUCCUUCGCACUUGCCCUAUCUGUUCCUCAAACAGAUGCGGAAUCUUCCCUGGAAACAUAACAUGUUGAAGAUGAGUACUCGAGAGCAAUGCCAGGUAAGUAAUCAGGUAGGUAAGGGGUUCCAGGCAGUCAGUUCCUGGCUGGAAGCUUGAUUCCAAGUGCUGACUGAUGAUUGCUCUCUUUCUCCUUGUCUUGCAGGUAAAAACAAGGCCAAAGGAAAAGACAGGGAAAAAGCAUGAUAUGGGAUACUCUUGCUUUUAACCCUGAUGAUAUGAGAUAUUCUUGCUCUAGUAUAGCUUGUUUGCAGAGGUAUUAUCGGGGGGAAAGAAAGCUGAAUAUUUCGAAAGGCUUCGUUGGGAGUGCCCUCUCAGAUAUGAUGAAGGGUUGAGCAUUUUUGCAGGUCUGCCUGUCCGUUGGGGAUGGAGGUCGACAUAUAUAGGAGUCUCUCUAACAACAAGUAGUAAUGCUAUUCCUUUACCCUGCUUGGUCAUAGCACGGUAGUGGGAGCUGCCAGUUUCACAUGUCUUAACUCUGUCAGAGCACUUUGAAAAAGUGGUCUGUGGUAUCUGGCUCUCGAGAUUCGGAAAAACGAUGCCUCUUCGAUUUUUGAGAAAGCAAUCAUGCUGGGGGUCUGGCUCUCGAGAUUCGGAGAGCAGUGUCUCUUCGAUUUUUGAGGAAGUAAUCAUGUUGGGAGUCUGGCUCUUGAGAUUCGGAGGGCGGUGCCUCUUCGAUUUUGGAGCAAGCAAUCCUGUUGGGAGUGUUGUCUCGAAUGUGAGUAAAGGUUGGGCAUGUUUGCUAGUCUACCUUGCCACGAAGCACAAAGGUUGACACACAGGGACUUUCCAAUUAUCCAGCAAUGGUACUGUUCCUUUACCCUCUCUUCGCUUUUGAGAAAGUAGUCAUGUUGGGAGUCUGGCUCUCGAGAUUCGGAGGACGGUGCCUCUUCGAUUUUGGAGCAAGCAAUCUUAUUGGGAGUGUUUUCUCGAAUGUGAGUAAAGGUUGGGCAUGUUUGCUAGUCUACCUUGCCACGAAGCACAGAGGUUGACACACAGGGACUUUCCAAUUAUCCAGCAGUGGUACUGUUCCUUUACCCUUAUGGGUAAUAAUAUGGUAGCUAGACCUUCAAAAUUUAUGUGUCUAAACUUUGUUAGUGCUGUUUCUUUGCUAUUCUUUUACCUUUCUUGGUCAGAGCGAUGUAGUGGGAGCUGCAAGCUUCACGUGCUCAACUUUGGCAGAGAACUUUGGCAAAGUUAUCUGUGGUACCCAUGAGCUAUUGUUGCGUGUGACAGGUGCUGACAAGGCUAGAAAAGUAGGUGCCUCUUCGAUUUCUGAGAUCGGCCCUCGUGGUCUCUGAGCAGCCCAGCUUUUGAGAAAGCGAGCGCCUCUUCGAUUGAUUCGGAGAACGAUGCCUCAUCGAUUUUUGAGAAAGCAAUCAUGCUGGGGGUCUGGCUCUCGAAGAUUCGGGAAGCAGUGUCUCUUCGAUUUUUGAGAAAGUAAUCAUGUUGGGAGUCUGGCUCUCGAGAUUCGGAGGGCGGUGCCUCUUCGAUUUUGGAGCAAGCAAUCUUGUUGGGAGUUUUCUCGAAUGUGAGUAAAGGUUGGGCAUGUUUGCUAGUCUACCUUGCCACGAAGCACAGAGGUUGACACACAGGGACUUUCCAAUUAUCCAGCAAUGGUACUGUUCCUUUACCCUCUCUUCGAUUUUUAAGAAAGUAGUCAUGUUGGGAGUCUGGCUCUCGAGAUUUGGAGGACGGUGCCUCUUCGAUUUUGGAGCAAGCAAUCUUAUUGGGAGUGUUUUCUCGAAUGUGAGUAAAGGUUGGGCAUGUUUGCUAGUCUACCUUGCCACGAAGCACAGAGGUUGACACACAGGGACUUUCCAAUUAUCCAGCAGUGGUACUGUUCCUUUUACCCUUGUGGGUAAUAAUAUGGUAGCUAGACCUUCAAAAAAUUAUGGGUCUAAACUUUGUUAGUGUUGUUUCUUUGCUAUUCUUUUACCCUUCUUGGUCAGAGCGAUGUAGUAGGAGCUGCAAGCUUCACGUGCUCAACUUUGGCAGAGAACUUUGGCAAAGUUAUCUGUGGUACCCGUGAGCUAUUGUUGCGUGUGGGAAGUGGGUGAUUGAACAGUAAGAUUCAUGUGUUUUCUACUUCCCCAAAAAGUCUUCGACAGAAUGCCCAUAAUUUCCGCAAAGCUGAGUGUGCGUGUGACAGGUGCUGACAAGGCUGGAAAAGUAGGUGCCUCUUCGAUUUCUGAGAUCGGCCCUCGUGGUCUCUGGGGAGCCCAGCUUUUGAGAAAGCGAGCGCCUCUUCGAUUUCUAAGAUCGGCCUUCGUGGUCUUUGAGCAGCCCAACUUUUGAGAAAGCAAACGCCUCUUCGAUUUCUGAGAUCAACCCUCGUGAUCUCUAAGCAGCCCAACUUUUGAGAAAGCAAACGCCUCUUCGAUUUCUGAGCAGGCGCCUCUUCGAUUUCUGAAGCUCCGUCGAGUGCAGAUUUUUAUAGGGGCUGGCAUUAAGUUCCAAAGCACACUUGAAUCUCCACCAAUAGAAGCUUCAUUCUUGCACUUCUAAGAUCUUGAUUUGCCCGACCUCUUCUCUCUUCAACACCUUUGAAAAUGUCUGGCCCCUCCGACCGUCGUUUUGACUUGAACCUUGUUGAAGAGGCAGCCCCGCCUUCUCCAGACAACAUAUGGCGCCCAUCCUUCGUCUCCCUUACUGGUCCUCUUACCGUUGGGGAUUCCGUGAUGAAGAAUGAUAUGACCGCUGCGGUGGUGGCCAGGAACCUUCUCACUCCCAAAGAUAACAGACUACUUUCCAAACGGUCUGAUGAGUUAGCUGUUAAGGAUUCGCUGGCUCUCAGUGUUCAGUGUGCAGGUUCUGUGUCUAAUAUGACCCAACGCCUAUUUGCUCGAACCCGCCAAGUUGAAUCAUUGGCGGCUGAAGUGAUGAGUCUCAAACAGGAGAUUAGGGGGCUCAAGCAUGAUGAGAAUAAACAGUUGCACCGGCUCGCACAUGACUAUGCUACAAACAUGAAGAGGAAGCUUGACCAGAUGAAGGAAAACUGAUGGUCAGGUUUUACUUGAUCAUCAGAGAUUUGUGGGUUUGUUCCAAAGGCAUUUAUUGCCUUCGUCUUCUGGGGCUGUACCGCAUAAUGAAGCUCCGAAUGAUCAACCUCUGAUGCCUCCUCCUUCUAGGGUUCUGUCCAGUACUGAGGCUCCAAAUGAUCCCCUCUGCCUUCUCUUUCUGGGGCUCUACCGACUGCUGAGACUUCUCCUAAGCAACCUUUGUGAAGGCUCCCUCUUGUGUGUUUAUUUUGACUCAUGCAUAUGUACAUAUUUGUAGCUUAUCGGGGAUAUCAAUAAAUAAGCUUUCCUUCAUUUCAACGUAUUGUGUUAAAUACACCAAAGCCUUCUUCGCUAAGUUCUUUGAAUUUUCUUUUGUUGAAGCUUGUAUGUUGAAGCUUUCUGAGUGGAGCAUGUAGGUUGGGGUAGUGUUCCCUUAAUUUCCCGAGUGAGGAAAACUUCUCGGUUGGAGACUUGGAAAAUCCAAGUCACUGAGUGGGAUCGGCUAUAUGAAUCUUAGAACGCCAUUGUGCUCGAUCGAUCCUGUGUCAUGUCCUUCGUUAGAUCCAAGUACUCUAAGUCUUUUCUUAGAGUCUCUUCCAAAGUUUUCCUAGGUCUUCCUCUACCCCUUCGGCCCUGAACCUCUGUCCCACAGUCGCAUCUUCUAAUCGGAACGUCAGUAGGCCUUCUUUGCACAUGUCCAAACCACCGUAACCGAUUUUCUCUCAUCUUUCCUUCAAUUUCGGCUACUCCUACUUUACCCCGGAUAUCCUCAUUCCUAAUCUUAUCCUUUCUCGUGUGCCCACACAUCCAACGAAGCAUCCUCAUCUCCGCUACACCCCAUUUUGUGUACGUGUUGAUGUUUCACCGCCCAACAUUCUGUGUGCCAUACAGCAUCGCCGGCCUUAUUGCCGUCCUAUAAAAUUUUCCCUUGAGCUUCAGUGGCAUACGGCGGUCACACAAACACGCCGGAUGCACUCUUCCACUUCAUCCAUCCAGCUUGUAUUCUAUGGUUGAGAUCUCCAUCUAAUUCUCCGUUCUUUUGCAAGAUAGAUCCUAGGUAACGAAAAUGGUCGCUCUUUGGUAUUUCUUGAUCUCCGAUCCUCACCCCUAACUCGUUUUGGCCUCCAUUUGCACUGAACUUGCACUCCAUAUAUUCUGUCUUUGAUCGGCUUAGGCGAAGACCUUUAGAUUCCAACACUUCUCUCCAAAGGUUAAGCUUUGCAUUUACCCCUUCCUGAGUUUCAUCUAUCAACACUAUAUCGUCUGCGAAAAGCAUACACCAAGGAAUAUCAUCUUGAAUAUGUCCUGUUAACUCAUCCAUUACCAACGCAAAAAGGUAAGGACUUAAGGAUGAGCCUUGAUGUAAUCCUACAGUUAUGGGAAAGCUUUCGGUUUGUCCUUCAUGAGUUCUUACGGCAGUCUUUGCUCCUUCAUACAUAUCCUUUAUAGCUUGGAUAUAUGCUACUCGUACUCCUUUCUUUCUCUAAAAUCCUCCAAAGAAUGUCUCUUGGGACCCUAUCAUACGCUUUUUCCAAAUCUAUAAAGACCAUGUGUAAAUCCUUUUUCCCAUCUCUAUAUCUUUCCAUCAAUCUUCGUAAGAGAUAGAUUGCCUCCAUGGUUGAGCGCCCUGGCAUGAACCCGAAUUGGUUGUCCGAAACCCGUGUCUCUUGCCUCAAUCUAUGCUCAAUGACUCUCUCCCAGAGCUUCAUUGUAUGACUCAUUAGCUUAAUACCCCUAUAGUUCAUGCAAUUUUGUACGUCGCCCUUAUUCUUGUAGAUAGGCACCAAAGUGCUCGUUCGCCACUCAUUUGGCAUCUUCUUCGUUUUCAAAAUCCUAUUGAAAAGGUCAGUGAGCCAUGUUAUACCUGUCUCUCCCAAAAGUUUCCACACUUCAAUUGGUAUAUUGUCUGGGCCUAUUGCUUUUUUUAUGCUUCAUCUUCUUCAAAGCUACAACCACUUCUUCCUUCCGGAUUCGACGAUAAAAAAGAGUAGUUUCUACACUCUUCUGAGUUACUCAACUCCCCUAAAGAAGCACUCAUUUCAUGUCCUUCAUUGAAAAGAUUAUGAAAAUAACCUCUCCAUCUGUCUUUAACCGCGUUCUCUGUAGCAAGAACAUUUCCAUCUUCAUCCUUGAUGCACCUCACUUGGUUUAGGUCCCUUGUCUUCUUUUCCCUUGCUCUAGAUAGUUUAUAGAUAUCCAACUCUCCUUCUUUGGUAUCUAGUCGUUUAUACAUAUCGUCGUAAGCCGCUAACUUAGCUUCUCUGACAGCUUUCUUCGCCUCUUGCUUCGCUUUUCUAUACCUUUCACCAUUUUCAUCGGUCCUCUCCUUGUAUAAGGCUUUACAGCAUUCCUUCUUAGCCUUCACCUUUGUUUGUACCUCCUCAUUCCACCACCAAGAUUCCUUUUGAUGUGGGGCAAAGCCCUUGGACUCUCCUAAUACCUCUUUUGCUACUUUUCGGAUACAACUAGCCAUGGAAUCCCACAUUUGGCUAGCUUCCCCCUCUCUAUCCCACACACAUUGGGUGAUUACCUUCUCUUUGAAAAUGACUUGUUUUUCUUCUUUUAGAUUCCACCAUCUAGUCCUUGGGCACUUCCAAGUCUUGUUCUUUUGUCUUACUCUUUUGAUAUGUACAUCCAUCACCAACAAGCGAUGUUGAUUAGCCACGCUCUCUCCUGGUAUAACUUUGCAAUCCUUACAAGUUAUACGAUCCCCUUUCCUCAUUAGAAGAAAAUCUAUUUGUGUUUUUGACGACCCACUCUUGUAGGUGAUCACAUGUUCUUCUCUCUUCUUAAAGAAGGUGUUGGCUAAGAAGAGAUCAUAUGCCAUUGCAAAAUCCAAGAUAGCUUCCCCAUCCUCGUUUCUCUCCCCAAAACCAUGGCCACCAUGAAAACCUCCAUAGUUGCCUGUCUCCCUGCCCACGUGUCCAUUUAAAUCUCCUCCUAUAAAUAACUUCUCCGUCUGAGCAAUUCCUUGCACCAAGUCUCCAAGAUCUUCCCAAAAUUUCUCCUUCGAACUCGUAUCCAACCCUACUUGAGGUGCGUACGCACUAAUCACAUUGAUAAGUUCUUGUCCUAUUACAAUCUUGAUUGCCAUGAUUCUAUCUCCUACCCUCUUGACAUCUACAACAUCUUGUACCAAGGUCUUGUCCACGAUGAUGCCAACACCGUUUCUCGUUCUAUUUGUGCCCGAAUACCAAAGUUUAAACCCUGAGUUUUCUAGAUCCUUUGCCUUACUACCAACCCACUUAGUUUCUUGUAGGCACAUAAUAUUUAUCCUUCUCCUCACCAUAACUUCCACUACUUCCAUAGAUUUUCCCGUUAAGGUUCCUAUAUUCCACGUUCCUAAACGCAUUUUGCUCUCUUGAACUCUACCCUUCUGUCCUAGCUUCUUCACCCUCCCCCGUCUAAUAGGAUCAAAGUACUUCUUUUGUGUGUCCCGGGUAAAGUUGAUAGGAGCAUAUGCUCCCAAACAACUUUGAGUGGAGUCGUUCGAAAAGAAGUUUCUAUGGCCCCCUUGCUCAUUUAACACUGCAUCCGGAUGCCGAUGGAGAUACAGCGACCCUUGCUCACUUAUCACUGUGCUCGGGCCACACAGCGCGCCACUUACGGGUGACGCCCUAGCUUUAGCGCGAUUUUGUUCUGGAUUCAUUUUCAUAAGGAUUCGACGUGAUCAUGGAGUGCCGGCUGUCGACUACCUGACGCCCUCCCCCUCCUCCUUUAUCCGGGCUUGGGACCGGCCAUGUAAGACAUGGGCGGAGUUGUCCUAAUUUACACUAUAUUAAAGAAUAAAUGUAUUUUCUUCAAACAAAUAAAUGUAUUUAAAAAAAAAGGAAGAAAACAUUAGACACUUG